GGGGUAGAUAACUAGAAAAACAGCAGCAUGAAGUGUGCAUUGGAGUACUUAAUGGUGGCACCUGGGCAAAUUAUUCUAGGCAUGUCUGCACAGACCUCAAAUGAUGGAGCAUUCUCCUCCCCUCCUCUGGCUGUCCUUUGUCAGACUCUACAAUCAUCGCUAGAAGAAAAAAGUUGACUUAACCGUUCUUUGUUGAAAUUCGGGACUAUGUUAGAGAUACCAGGUCUCAAUCAAAUACAGCCUUCAUUAAAAGAUUC
Molecule: long non-coding RNA, 257 nt
Filed under: Gorilla gorilla gorilla (western lowland gorilla)
Lineage: Eukaryota; Metazoa; Chordata; Mammalia; Primates; Hominidae
Description: lncRNA (ENSGGOG00000044640.1)
Source: RNAcentral